This 75-nucleotide transfer RNA is filed under the name Candidatus Magasanikiibacteriota bacterium. RNAcentral's name for it is "Candidatus Magasanikbacteria bacterium tRNA-Arg". It matches the Rfam family "tRNA". Rfam says of the family: Transfer RNA (tRNA) molecules are approximately 80 nucleotides in length. The record is from RNAcentral. Lineage: Bacteria; Candidatus Magasanikiibacteriota.
GCACCCGUAGCUCAACGGAUAGAGCGCUGGUCUUCGGAACCAGUAAUGGGGGUUCGAUUCCCUCCGGGUGCACCA